RNAcentral lists this long non-coding RNA (9205 nucleotides) under Zea mays. Its description in RNAcentral is "long non-coding RNA (ZMAY_LNC005481)". The record is from RNAcentral. Lineage: Eukaryota; Viridiplantae; Streptophyta; Magnoliopsida; Poales; Poaceae.
UCACGCUGGGAUAUAUGAACAGACUGCGCCCUGGCCGUAGAUCAUCCGAUCGCUUGAAGACCAGCUACCACCGGGAGAGAAGAAGCAGAGAGAGGUAGGAGGAGAGAGGGGGUCGCCGAUCUGAUCCUCUCGCUGCUGGGAAUUUGGGAGUGUCGGGGAGGAGCUGCCGGAGCAUCGCGGAGGCGUCCGCGUGGUGCUCUGAUGUGGAAUGUGAACCUGGGGGCUCUGGUUGUGCUCGUCAUGCGUGAAGAAAAGCGACCGCUGCCGUGGAGUCACACCUCGCCGCGGCUAGAAGAUUACACGCAUCAAGUCUCGGUAAGAUGUCUCUUAUUGAGCUUGCCGUGAUCCCCCAUCGUGUAGUAUCUCUAGUUUCGAAGUUUGGACCGACGGGUUGCCAGAGCAUGCACUUCAGCCAUGGCGCCACCAAGUUAGGCGGCGCCGCCGCGGCGUGCUGUUGGGGAAGAAGGUAACGCCCUUGCCGUUCGAAUCGCGAUGGGCGGUGUAGAUUAACCGAUGCUGUUCACGUUGGGGCGUGUGUGCCGUCCGAUCUGGCUGACGGUUAGGAUUUGUUAUGUGCGCCGAUGUAAUCUGGGCCACCAGAUGGUGAUCGGACGGCUGAAAACACAGGAUACCCCUUCACGCGGCAUAAUAUCUAAAGAGACCCUAGGUUAAUAACAAUUCAACCCGCAGUCCACCUGGUGGGUCAUCUGUGUCUUAGGAUUAAUUGCAUCAGGGCCCCUGACUUCUCUGGAAAUUGAGGCUCAGUCCAGGGUAGAUUAAAAAUAGAGAAAUAAUAUUAGAAUUUCGUUUUUAAUACAAAAACAAUUCUAGAAACUUGUAAAAUGCAUAUAAAAUUCAUUUUAGCUCCAAAUUGAACCAUUCCAAUUUCUAAAAUUUUGUAAUAAUAUUCUCUAUCAUUUAGUGUCUCUGUUUUGUCAUGAAAACAGUAAGAAAAUUAAUUUAUCAUUUAAUCUUAUUUCAAGCACAUUAAACCUUAGGAAAUUCAUAACUUGAAAGCUAUAACUCCAAAUUUAAUGAUUCCAGUUCCUACGAUUUUAGUGUAAUAUGUAGAUUUUUAUUGCGUAUUUUAUUCACAUGUUUGGUGCAAUGUUAAUUUUUGCUAUACCCUGUAUGUAUUGUGUUGAUGCGAGUAGACGAGCAAGCCACUGUGGAUUCUGAGGUUUAACAAGUAGAAGUAGCUGAGCAGGAGCUCAUUGAAUGCAAGUUGUGCCCUUGAUCACUUACUUUUCCCAGCCAUGUUCUUAUUAAUUUUAAUGAUCUGCAUAGGUUAAUUUUGAUGGGAUCCUUUAUGUUAUCCCAGUUUUGAUUACCUCUAUACCUUGAUCACCCCUGAAAUAUUUUUGGGUAGUACUUGCUAUUGCUUUAUGUGGAUUGGGUAUGGAGAUACACUACUCAUGAUUAUCCUGUUAUUAUCUUGUUAUUAUACUGUUCAUGUUAAGAUCAUUAAAUUAAUGGGAACAUGGAGCGACCACCCGGGAAAACAAUGCUACCACAAGGGUUUAAUGGGACGCCCUUGGCUGAUUAACUAGGAAAGCUAGUGGAGGUCUUCCUUACCCGAAAGGGGCAAGGGCAGUAGGGGAGUGGUCAGUGUAGGGAGGUCCCUGUGUUGAUUUUGCUGCGAUGGCGGUCAGGCAAGAACCCUGCACUGGAGCUUCCUAUAAACUGUAGCGGGAUUUCUGAAGCUAGUGGAACUUUGUAAAGGCCUUGUAGUGUUACCCUGCCUCGCCUCCUCGGUAGAGGUGUAUGGGAUUGGCCGUCUCUUGGCAGAUGGGUAACAUGACUUGUGGGUAAAGAUGUGCAACCUCUGCAGAGUGUAAAACUAGUAUACUAGCCGUGCUCACGGUCAUGAGCGGCUCGGACCCUCACAUGAUUAAAUAUGGAACUUAAAUUUAAUUUGACAUUUGCAUCGCAUUUGGGAUUAUUUUACUAUUACUGUUCUUUAUUAUUAUUAAGGUUUGGUAUUUACUUACACUUAGUAAUUGCUAAUAAAAUUUUGACCAACUUAUAAAAGCAAUGCUAAGCUUCAGCCUCUAUUUCAUUGAUCAGCCUUACACUCCAUGAACUCCCACCUUUGGUGAGUUCAUGCCACAUUAUUCCCCAUGACUUGUUGAGCUAUGAACGUAUGUGAGCUCACUCUUGCUGUCUCACAUCCCCCACAGGAGAAGAGAAGGUGGUCGAAGAGGAACCGCCUAACACUGAGGCAUUCGACUUGAUCUAGGUGGCGUUUCUCAGUUGACAUUGGCGCCAUCGAUCCUUAGUUCGUUUUACCUUUAUUCUUUUACUUUGUAAUAAGUCUUCCGCUAUGUAAUAAAUACUCUGAUGAUUUAUGACAUUUAUCUCUAUACACUCUGUUAUUAUAUAUGUUGUCUUCUUUGGCGCAUGUAUGAGAUGCACCCGUCUUUGUUCCUUAAAACCGGGUGUUACAGAAGUGGUAUCAGAGGAAAUGUUGACUAUAGGACGAAACCUAGAUAGAAAUGGACAAAAGCCUUCCCUACUUACCUUCUUCUGAUUCAUUCUAUACUUACCUUACUCUGAUUCUCUCUAUACUUAUCUUGAUCCUGUCUCACUUUCUACUGUUCUACUCUGAUGAUUCUUACCUUUUCUACUCUAAGACAAGAUGUAUUUCACACUUUGGAAUCCUACCUUUAUGACCUUUUUAAGAGAUAGGAGACCUAAGACAAAAAAAUAAAAUUAUUUUAUCUAUUAAAAAUGUUGGUUGAUUGUGCUGAAGAUCAAUGCCUGAUUUGCUUCUUUGAUUGAUUGAAAUAGUAUAGAUGGGCAUCUUAGCAUGUACCACAAUAAGGUAAUGAAUUAGCUUUAGUAGGUUACACACUUAGCUAAUAAAUCCCCCCAAAGUAACAUGCUUCGUAAUCACUGCCUUGUCUAGAAUCCUUUCUUUCGUCCCCUGUGUUUCUAACCCAGAUGGGCUACCCCUAUAAUGUUAGAAGAGAGCACUAUAGACGUGAUCCUUGAUAUGUCGUGGUUAAGAAAGGUAAAGGCAGUUUAUACACUGGUGCUAAAGGAACCAUAGAACUCACCAGUUCCAAAGGAGAAGGAUUUGAAGUUGGAAUUGCAGUAACUACCGCCACCAAACUAGCAGCAUUCUUAGUCGAUGGGAAGUUUGUUGGUGACAACAUCCGUGUGGUUAAGGAUUUUCCGGAUGUCUUUCCAGAGGAGUUACCAGGGAUGCCACCAGAUACGGAAGUUGAGUUGGUCAUUGAUCUCUUACCUGGGACUGCCCCUACUUUCAAGCGGCCAUACAGGAUGUCUGUAGAAGAGUUGAAGGGACUCAAGAAGCACUUAACGGAGUUGCAAGAGGUUGGGUACAUUCGUCCGAGUUCCUCACCUUGUGGAGCGCCGAUUCUAAUUGUACAGAAGAAAGAAGGAUCACAAGGGGUGUACGUGGAUUAUAGGUCCCUUAACGAUGUCACUGUGAAGAACAAGUGUCCAUUACCCCGCAUUGAGGAUUUAUUCAGAUGAGAGGUGCAAGGGUAUUCUCGAAGAUUGAUCUCCGAUCGGGUUAUCAUCAAAUGAAGAUUAGGCCAUCGGAUAUUCCCAAGACAUCUUUCUCGACUCGAUAUGGAUUAUAUGAGUUCUUUGUUAUGUCGUUUGGAUUAGCUAAUGCACCAGCUUAUUUUAUGGGUUUGAUGAAUAAGGUGUUUAUGGAGUAUUUGGACAGAUUCGUCGUAGUAUUUAUCGACGAUAUUCUUAUCUAUUCUAAGAGUGAAAGUGAUCAUGAGGAACACCUGAGAUUGGUGCUACAAAAGCUAAGAGAUAAUCAACUCUAUGCCAAGUACAGUAAAUGCGAGUUUUGGAUUGACGAGGUGCCAUUCCUUAGACAUAUCAUUCCUAAUGGAGGGAUAUCAGUGGAUCCUGCUAAAGUCAAGGAGAUAGUGGUGUGGAGCAUACCCACUACAGUUACGAAGAUUCGGAGUUUCUUGGGACUUGCAGGAUAUUAUCGGAGAUUUAUUGAAGGGUUCUCUAAGAUUGCCAAGCCUAUGACCUCGCUUUUGGAGAAAGGAAGAGAAUUCAAGUGGGAUGAGAAAUGCCAAGAGAGCUUUGAUCAAUUGAAGGAGAGGUUGAUGUCGCCACCAGUAUUGGUUAUGCCAGAUCUACAGAAGGGACUUGACAUUUAUUGUGAUGCAUGUGGCCAAGGCUUGGGAUGUGUGCUCAUGCAAGAAGGACACGUGAUUGCUUACGCGUCUCGUCAGUUGCGGAAACAAGAGUUAAACUACCCCACUCAUGACUUAGAGCUGGUAGCCGUUGUGCAUGCGCUUAAGAUUUGGAGACAUUAUCUCAUGGGAACCAAGUGUUAAGUGUACACGGAUCAUAAGAGUUUGAAGUAUAUGUUCACUUAGAAGAAUCUCAACCUUAGGCAACGCCGUUGGUUGGAGCUUAUUAAGGAUUAUGAUUUGGAGAUUCACUAUCACCCGGGCAAGGCAAAUUUGGUUGCAAAUGCCUUGAGUCGAAAGGAGCAUGUUCAUUUAGCUGUUGUUGCCCAGCUACCCGAUGAAAUUGUUGAGAAUUUCAGGAGACUUAACCUGGGGAUUGUUGCUCACACUGAAGGAGUUACUAUUGAUGUGGAAUCUACCUUGGAACAAGAAAUCCACAAAGGACAAAUUGGUGAUGCUAAAAUACAAGAGAUUAAGGAUCUGAUUACUGAAGGACGAGGUCCGGAAUUUACGGAAGAUGAGCAAGGCAUCAUAUGGUUCAAGGACAGGAUAUGUGUUCCUGAUAUUGAAAGCCUUCGUGAGACUGUUUUAAAGGAGCCCCAUGACUUGGAUUAUUCUAUUCAUCCUGGUAGUACCAAGAUGUAUCAGGAUUUGAAGCGGAAGUAUUGGUGGUAUGGAUUGAAGAGAGUUGUGGCUGCACAUGUGGCUAUGUGCGAUGUGUGUCAAAGAGUUAAGGCAGAACACCAAAGACAAGCUGGACUAUUAUACCCAUUAAAGAUACCCGAGUGGAAGUGGGAAGAGAUUGGUAUGGAUUUUAUUACUGGGUUGCCUCACACCUCGAAAGGAUAUGAUUCUAUAUGGGUUAUUAUGGAUAGCCUAACCAAAGUGGCUCAUUUCAUUCCGGUCAAGACUACUUAUAAGUAAUCUCAAUUGGUUUAAGUUAUAUAUGGCUCGGAUUAUGUCUCUACACGGUGUACCAAAGAUCGUUUUGGAUAGAGGAUCACAGUUUACCUCCAGAUUUUGGAAAAGUUUUCAAGAGAAUGUGGAUACAAAGUUGAAUUCUAGUUCGGCCAUCCUCAGACUGAUGGACAGACUGAAGGGACUAAUCAAGUAUGGGAGGACAUGUUGAGAACUUGUGCCCUUCAGCAUGGUAGUAGUUGGGACAAGAGUCUACCUUAUGCUUAGUUCUCAUAUAAUAAUAGUUACCAGGCCAGUCUGAAGAUGUCACCGUUCGAGGCUUUAUACGGCAGAAAUGCAGGACUCCUCUAUUUUUGGACCAGACUAGAGGAAGACAAAUCUUUGGACCUGAACUUAUUCAAGAGGCGGAAGAACAAGUCCGUAUAAUUCGGGAGGAUUUAAGAUAGCUCAGACCAGACAAAAGAGCUACGUUGAUAACAGAAGAAGACCAUUGGAAUUUGAGGAAGGAGAUCAUGUGUACCACAAGAUGUCACCACUUCGUGGAAUGAGGAGAUUCAAAGUUAAGGGCAAUUUGUCCCCUCGCUUUAUUGGACCAUUCUGAGUUUUUAGGCAAGUUAGAGAGAUGGCCUAUCAACUCGAGCUACCUGAUAAGAUAUCUGAUAUGCAUAAUGUAUUUUAUGUGUCUCAACUUAAGAAGUGUCUCUGUGUCCCUGAGGAACAGUUACCAAUGGAUGAGCUCCGUGUUCAAGGGGAUUUGACUUAUACGGAAUAUCCUACCAAGAUUCUUGAUACAUCGACUCGAGUUACAAGAAAUAAGGUUAUAAAGAUGUGCAAAGUACAAUGGAGCCAUCAUGGAGAAGAUGAAGCUGCUUGGCAGAGAGCAAAAGAGCCCCGCAUAGAUUUUCCCAUUGUUUCCCUAGUCCUUCCUAAAUCUCGAGGACGAGAUUCUUGUUAAGGGGGUAGGAUUUGUAAAGCCCAAAAUUUGUAUCACGGAAAAAAAUAAUAAAUAAAAAUAAGUAUGUAGUGUUUUGGGAUUAUGGAACCGUUGGAAAUUAUUUGAUUUCCUUUUUCCCUUGUGCAUACUUAAUUAAGGGAAUUAAAGUAAUCAAAUAACAAAUGAAUAAAUACAUAAAUAUGCAUUAAAGUUGUAAACUAAACCAAAGGUUAUAUAGUUAUGUGGUUGUUUACAUAAAUGAAUAAUAAAGUUUGAAUGAACUAUUGAAAUAAAUAAUGUAUAUGUUGUAUAUGUUGAACAUUUGCAUAAAUAAUUAAUAUAUAAAAUAUAUACAUUAUUUGCAUCUCAUGCUGGAGUUGUGCUUGUGCAUUUUAAUUUAUGUGUGUGAAUUUCCAACCAAAUUCAAAUUUGGAAAGAGAAAAAAAUUGAAAAUAGGAAAUGCAAAUAAAAAAAAAGACAAAGAAGCUUACCUCGCAUGAUGCAUGGCCUCUCCAUUGCACGUUUUUCUCAGCAAAGCCCAAAUGCACACACGUAUUUUUUUUCUUCUUUUCCUUAUGCGUCGUGAUGCUGUUGCAUGCAGUCAAUAGCCAUAUUGCAUGCACUCGCUGUUCUCGUAUAGCGAUUGACUUACGGGUCCGCGAUUUCAGCCUCGUCGGUCUUCUUCAGGCCACGACGAUCACUGCAGCUGGGAGGUUACUAUACGCCGUAACAAACUGUAACCGCCACCGAUUUGUUCGCUGACAUCGCGCCAACCCUCCUCACGCUGGGAUAUAUGAACAGACUGCGCCCUGGCCGUAGAUCAUCCGAUCGCUUGAAGACCAGCUACCACCGGGAGAGAAGAAGCAGAGAGAGGUAGGAGGAGAGAGGGGGUCGCCGAUCUGAUCCUCUCGCUGCUGGGAAUUUGGGAGUGUCGGGGAGGAGCUGCCGGAGCAUCGCGGAGGCGUCCGCGUGGUGCUCUGAUGUGGAAUGUGAACCUGGGGGCUCUGGUUGUGCUCGUCAUGCGUGAAGAAAAGCGACCGCUGCCGUGGAGUCACACCUCUCCGCGGCUAGAAGAUUACACGCAUCAAGUCUCGGUAAGAUGUCUCUUAUUGAGCUUGCCGUGAUCCCCCAUCGUGUAGUAUCUCUAGUUUCGAAGUUUGGACCGGCGGGUUGCCAGAGCACGCACUUCAGCCAUGGCGCCACCAAGUUAGGCGGCGCCGCCGCGGCGUGCUGUUGGGGAAGAAGGUAACGCCCUUGCCGUUUGAAUCGCGAUGGGCGGUGUAGAUUAACCGAUGCUGUUCACGUUGGGGCGUGUGUGCCGUCCGAUCUGGCUGACGGUUAGGAUUUGUUAUGUGCGCCGAUGUAAUCUGGGCCACCAGAUGGCGAUCGGACGUCUGAAAACACAGGAUACCCGUUCACGCGGCAUAAUAUCUAAAGAGACCCUAGGUUAAUAACAAUUCAACCCGCAGUCCACCUGGUGGGUCAUCUGUGUCUUAGGAUUAAUUGCAUCAGGGCCCCUGACUUCUCUGGAAAUUGAGGCUCAGUCCAGGGUAGAUUAAAAAUAGAGAAAUAAUAUUAGAAUUUCGUUUUUAAUACAAAAACAAUUCUAGAAACUUGUAAAAUGCAUAUAAAAUUCAUUUUAGCUCCAAAUUGAACCGUUCCAAUUUCUAAAAUUUUGUAAUAAUAUUCUAUAUCAUUUAGUGUCUCUGUUUUGUCAUGAAAACAGUAAGAAAAUUAAUUUAUCAUUUAAUCUUAUUUCAAGCACAUUAAACCUUAGGAAAUUCAUAACUUGAAAGCUAUAACUCCAAAUUUAAUGAUUCCAGUUCCUACGAUUUUAGUGUAAUAUGUAGAUUUUUAUUGCGUAUUUUAUUCACAUGUUUGGUGCAAUGUUAAUUUUUGCUAUACCCUGUAUGUAUUGUGUUGAUGCGAGUAGACGAGCAAGCCACUGUGGAUUCUGAGGUUUAACAAGUAGAAGUAGCUGAGCAGGAGCUCAUUGAAGGCAAGUUGUGCCCUUGAUCACUUACUUUUCCCAGCCAUGUUCUUAUUAAUUUUAAUGAUCUGCAUAGGUUAAUUUUGAUGGGAUCCUUUAUGUUACCCCAGUUUUGAUUACCUCUAUACCUUGAUCACCCCUGAAAUAUUUUUGGAUAGUACUUGCUAUUGCUUUAUGUGGAUUGGGUAUGGAGAUACACUACUCAUGAUUAUCCUGUUAUUAUCUUGUUAUUAUACUGUUCAUGUUAAGAUCAUUAAAUUAAUGGGAACAUGGAGCGACCACCCGGAAAAACAGUGCUACCACAAGGGUUUAAUGGGACGCCCUUGGCUGAUUAACUAGGAAAGCUAGUAGAGGUCUUCCUUACCCGAAAGGGGCAAGGGCAGUAGGGGAGUGGUCAGUGUAGGGAGGUCCUUGUGUUGAUUUUGCUGCGAUGGCGGUCAGGCAAGAACCCUGCACUGGAGCUUCCUAUAAACUGUAGCGGGAUUUCUGAAGCUAGUGGAACUUUGUAAAGGCCUCGUAGUGUUACCCUGCCUCGCCUCCUCGGUAGAGGUGUAUGGGAUUGGCCGUCUCUUGGCAGAUGGGUAACAUGACUUGUGGGUAAAGAUGCGCAACCUCUGCAGAGUGUAAAACUAGUAUACUAGCCGUGCUCACGGUCAUGAGCGGCUCGGACCCUCACAUGAUUAAAUAUGGAACUUAAAUUUAAUUUGACAUUUGCAUCGCAUUUGGGAUUAUUUUACUAUUACUGUUCUUUAUUAUUAUUAAGGUUUGGUAUUUACUUACACUUAGUAAUUGCUAAUAAAAUUUUGACCAACUUAUAAAAGCAAUGCUCAGCUUCAGCCUCUAUUUCAUUGAUCAGCCUUACACUCCAUGAACUCCCACCCUUUGGUGAGUUCAUGCCACAUUAUUCCCCAUGACUUGUUGAGCUAUGAACGUAUGUGAGCUCACUCUUGCUGUCUCACAUCCCCCACAGGAGAAGAGCAGGUGGUCGAAGAGGAGCCGCCUAACACUGAGGCAUUCGACUUGAUCUAGGUGGCGUUUCUCAGUUGACAUUGGCGCCAUCGAUCCUUAGUUCGUUUUACCUUUAUUCUUUUACUUUGUAAUAAGUCUUCCGCUAUGUAAUAAAUACUCUGAUGAUUUAUGACAUUUAUCUCUAUACACUCUGUUAUUAUA